GGCGAGUGGCGAACGGGUGAGUAAUGCAUCGGAACGUGCCCAUCGAUGGGGGAUAACUGCGCGAAAGCGUUGCUAAUACCGCAUACGACCUACGGGUGAAAGCAGGGGACCGCAAGGCCUUGCGUCGAUGGAGCGGCCGAUGCCGGAUUAGCUAGUUGGUGAGGUAAAGGCUCACCAAGGCGACGAUCCCGUAGCUGGUCUGAGAGGACGACCAGCCACACUGGGACUGAGACACGGCCCAGACUCCUACGGGAGGCAGCAGUGGGGAAUCUUGGACAAUGGGCGAAAGCCUGAUCCAGCAAUGCCGCGUGUGGGAAGAAGGCCCUCGGGUUGUAAACCACUUUUGGCGGGAAAGAAAUGGUCUGUGCUAAUACCACGGAUUGAUGACGGUACCCGCAGAAUAAGCACCGGCUAACUACGUG
This 422-nucleotide ribosomal RNA is filed under the name uncultured bacterium. RNAcentral describes it as "bacterial SSU rRNA". It matches the Rfam family "Bacterial small subunit ribosomal RNA", at positions 90 to 507 of the family's 1533-position model. The record is from RNAcentral.